This 71-nucleotide transfer RNA is filed under the name Prevotella sp. CAG:1092. It matches the Rfam family "tRNA". Rfam says of the family: Transfer RNA (tRNA) molecules are approximately 80 nucleotides in length. Their secondary structure includes four short double-helical elements and three loops (D, anti-codon, and T loops). Further hydrogen bonds mediate the characteristic L-shaped molecular structure. tRNAs have two regions of fundamental functional importance: the anti-codon, which is responsible for specific mRNA codon recognition, and the 3' end, to which the tRNAs corresponding amino acid is attached (by aminoacyl-tRNA synthetases). tRNAs cope with the degeneracy of the genetic code in two manners: having more than one tRNA (with a specific anti-codon) for a particular amino acid; and 'wobble' base-pairing, i.e. permitting non-standard base-pairing at the 3rd anti-codon position. The record is from Rfam by way of RNAcentral. Lineage: Bacteria; Pseudomonadati; Bacteroidota; Bacteroidia; Bacteroidales; Prevotellaceae.
CGGAAUAUGGUGUAAUGGUAGCACCUAUCACUUUGGAUGAUACAGUAUAGGUUCGAAUCCUGUUGUUCCGA